Triticum dicoccoides is the source of this 802-nucleotide long non-coding RNA. RefSeq lists it as uncharacterized. The record is from RefSeq and is a predicted model, not a curated record. The transcript has 2 exons. Lineage: Eukaryota; Viridiplantae; Streptophyta; Magnoliopsida; Poales; Poaceae.
AAUAGCACACCUUUCCUCGUACGUUGAUAAAAUAGCACAUCUUUCUUUUUGUUAGAUUAAAUGACACACUUUUCCUUCGGGGCUAGACAAAAUGGCACAAACAGACAUUUUUCUCAAUUUUCAGGUCAGGACCUACACGUCAUAUUAUUUUGGACGAUUUUGCCCUUUGAUCUGUUCUACGCAGUAAACUGGUUCAGUCGAACCUCUGUUUCGAAACAGAGCGAAAAGAAACGCAGCGAGGAAGAUGGAUCGCCGCCUCGCCGGCCCUGCCAAUUACGUGCUCCCCUUAUCUCCCGGCGCUUCGUCCCGUUUCUUCCCGUCUCCUGUCGCUCCACCCGUUCCGCCGCCGCCGCCGCAUCUGGCCGUACAGCUCUACUUCCCUGCUAAAGCAAACAACUAUACCAGUCAGCAGCCACCUACAGGCUUCUACAGGAGCAAGCACCUACAGCCAGCAAACGAACGUACGCUACGGCGAGCGACCGGCCUGCACUGCCACGUGCUGCAGGGGGACUUCAAGUGGCGGCGCCCUUCUUCUCCCGCAUUGCGAUGAAGCAGCCGCAGCCCGCAGCGCGUACGGCGGCCGCGGCGCGCGGUAAGGUGGCGGACAGGGCGGCUCGGGGACGAAUCACGGCGAGAUCGUGGAUGGUUCCGUCGUUCCUCUGUUCCGGUGUUCUCUCAUCCUCUGGAUCGUCUCGUCUCCUCUCUCGAUCGAACCAGUCCAAAGUGUAAAAUCGUCCAAAAUAAUAUAACGUGUAGGUCCUGACGUGGAAAUUGUGAAAAAAAGUCAGUUUGUGCCAUUUUA